This 500-nucleotide ribosomal RNA is filed under the name uncultured bacterium. Its description in RNAcentral is "partial 16S ribosomal RNA". It matches the Rfam family "Bacterial small subunit ribosomal RNA", at positions 30 to 523 of the family's 1533-position model. The record is from RNAcentral.
AUUGAACGCUGGCGGAAUGCUUUACACACGCAAGUCGAACGGCAGCACGGACUUCGGUCUGGUGGCGAGUGGCGAACGGGUGAGUAAUAUAUCGGAACGUGCCCAGUCGUGGGGGAUAACGUAGCGAAAGCUACGCUAAUACCGCAUACGAUCUACGGAUGAAAGCGGGGGAUCGCAAGACCUCGCGCGAUUGGAGCGGCCGAUAUCAGAUUAGGUAGUCGGUGAGGUAAAGGCUCACCAAGCCGACGAUCUGUAGCUGGUCUGAGAGGACGACCAGCCACACUGGGACUGAGACACGGCCCAGACUCCUACGGGAGGCAGCAGUGGGGAAUUUUGGACAAUGGACGCAAGUCUGAUUCAGCCAUUCCGCGUGCAGGACGAAGGCCUUCGGGUUGUAAACUGCUUUUGUACAGAACGAAAAGGUCUCUAUUAAUACUAGGGGCUCAUGACGGUACUGUAAGAAUAAGCACCGGCUAACUACGUGCCAGCCGCCGCAGUAA